CAGUCUAUUAUAGUUAGUUAUCGUCAAUGAAGUGGUUGUGUCACGACUAGUUAAAGAGCUGUGGUUGUCCGUAGCGAGCAUUCGCGAUACAAGCGCAUACUGCAUCACACUGCACUGUUGCGUAACUUGCUGAAACAAAUAUUUGAAUUACAAGAUGCCUUGUGGAGGCUGCGGUGAUAACUGCAAAUGCACGGGUAGCCAGUGCUGCUCGUCUUGUAAGUGCGAUGCGUCGUGCACCUGCGCCUGCAAGCGGCCUGCCUCCGACAAGCCUGCUUCUACCACCAAGAAGUAGACCUUAACACUCCAACAUUACUCCAAAAUAUAACUAGAAACUACCGUAGGCUCUGCACGCUAACCACGCCGCGCACAGCGCGAAUUACAUCGAGUGUUUCUACCAAUAGACGCAGCGAAUGCUAUCUACGUAGAUAAACGUCGAACAACUAUUGGUCAAAGCCGUCGAUAUAAUUCGCGCCGCGCGGCUGUUUCUGUGCUAUAGGGCGCACACAAACUUAACCCAAUUUUAGUUUGACAGCUCUUAAACUAGUGUCGUCUUUCACUUACAAUAAGUGCAAGAAAGAGAUAGAGCUAGUUUUAUUCCUGUCAAAUUAUGUUAAAAUUAAUUUACUGGUUGCCCGAAUCGGCACCAUUGUUUUGUUUAAAUUAGGUUUCUUUCAUCAUACUCGUUUUCAAAAAUAAAAAAGCUUGUUGCAACUGUGAUCCCGGGCUAGAUAGAUCCUUCAGCGCCCCCUAUUUGUUUUGCCAAGUACCGAGUCGCAUCCGAGACAAAUAUAAUAAGUAAGUCACGUUAAAAAAACAUACUUUGAACCUUGCGAUUCAGUUAAAAACGUCGUAAAAAUGUCAGCAAGUACACGAAUAUACUUACAAUUGUAUUUGUCAUAGGUAUGUAUUGAGCAGAGUGAUUCAAACGCCUGAGUAGUCUUUGUUAGUUUAUGGUCUCUAGGCAAUCGAGUAAUGUUGGACACAUGAGGCAAUAUAUACCUUACUGACUGUAAUAAAUUGUUUCUACACCAAAACAUUAGAGGUACGAAACAAUAUAUUGUUAUUAUUCCUAGCCUAUAAUGUUACUGUUCUAUUCCUAAGUACUUACACAGGUAAACAGCCUAUAUUGUAUUCAUUUUUGCUCCGUUUUCCUCUAAGUAUAAAUAAUAUAGGCAUAGUAGAUACUUAUUGGUUAAAAAAUAACAAUAAUAUGUCAUUAUAUUGCUUACCUAUAUGUAAUGUUGUUUUUUAAUAAAUUAAUACGCGUGUUUACUUCAUCUAUGUUUAUUGCAAUAUAAAUGUUAUGAUGUUAUUUUCUGAUGCUGUUAUGUAUUUUCGACCUGUUGUUUUGAAUUUGACAUUAAAUAUACUUGUUCUAAUAAA
Molecule: long non-coding RNA, 1383 nt
Organism: Pectinophora gossypiella (pink bollworm)
Lineage: Eukaryota; Metazoa; Arthropoda; Insecta; Lepidoptera; Gelechiidae
Exons: 2
Source: RefSeq, a predicted model, not a curated record